RNAcentral lists this ribosomal RNA (482 nucleotides) under uncultured bacterium. Its description in RNAcentral is "partial 16S ribosomal RNA". It matches the Rfam family "Bacterial small subunit ribosomal RNA", at positions 30 to 507 of the family's 1533-position model. The record is from RNAcentral.
AUUGAACGCUGGCGGCAUGCCUUACACAUGCAAGUCGAACGGUAACGGGCCUUCUGUUGCCGACGAGUGGCGAACGGGUGAGUAAUACAUCGGAACGUGCCCGAUCGUGGGGGAUAACGAGGCGAGAGCUUUGCUAAUACCGCAUACGAUCUACGGAUGAAAGCAGGGGACCGCAAGGCCUUGCGCGGACGGAGCGGCCGAUGGCAGAUUAGGUAGUUGGUGGGAUAAAAGCUUACCAAGCCGACGAACUGUAGCUGGUCUGAGAGGAUGAUCAGCCACACUGGGACUGAGACACGGCCCAGACUCCUACGGGAGGCAGCAGUGGGGAAUUUUGGACAAUGGGCGCAAGCAUGAUCCAGCCAUGCCGCGUGCAGGAUGAAGGCCUUCGGGUUGUAAACUGCUUUUGUACGGAACGAAAAGCCUUCUUUUAAUACAGGAGGGUCAUGACGGUACCGUAAGAAUAAGCACCGGCUAACUACGUG